GACAUUUCCAUUAAUGGUAACAUUGUGUUUCGAGAUAUUGACAUUGUGAGAAUAGCGGGGGGUGUUAACAGUGCUCUUGUACUGAACACGACCAUUCCAGUCAGUGGCAGGAUCUUGACGAUCACAUUACAUCCAACAACGGGGACUCAUGCCAUCAUUAAUGCCAUUGAGAUUUUUGAGGUUAUACCAGUUGAAUCUAAAACAUUACCCGAGGAAGUAAAGGCUUUACAGUCACUGAAACUUGCACUUGGACUUCCCCUUCGUUUUGGGUGGAAUGGUGAUCCAUGUUUUCCGCAACAUCCGUGGAGUGGAGUAGAUUGUCAGUUUGACAACUCCAGCAAUAAAUGGGUCAUCGAUGGGCUUGACCUGGACAACCAAGGUUUACGAGGUUUCUUACCAGAUGAUGUUUCUCAAUUGCGUCAUCUUCAGAGCAUAAAUUUGAGUGGAAACAACAUUCACGGGCUUAUUCCCUCAGCACUUGGAACAAUAACUAGUCUGGAGAAAUUGGAUCUUUCAUACAAUUCCUUCAACGGAUCGAUUCCUGAAAGCCUUGGGGAAUUGACGUCGUUACUGACACUGAAUCUCAACGGCAAUUUGCUCUCUGGAAAAAUUCCUGCAGCGUUAGGCGGAAGGCUCUUG
RNAcentral lists this unclassified non-coding RNA (639 nucleotides) under Hevea brasiliensis (rubber tree). Lineage: Eukaryota; Viridiplantae; Streptophyta; Magnoliopsida; Malpighiales; Euphorbiaceae. The record is from RNAcentral.